RNAcentral lists this ribosomal RNA (497 nucleotides) under uncultured bacterium. Its description in RNAcentral is "partial 16S ribosomal RNA". It matches the Rfam family "Bacterial small subunit ribosomal RNA", at positions 28 to 507 of the family's 1533-position model. The record is from RNAcentral.
GACGAACGCUGGCGGCGUGCCUAAUACAUGCAAGUUGAGCGCUGAAGGUUGGUACUUGUACCAACUGGAUGAGCAGCGAACGGGUGAGUAACGCGUGGGGAAUCUGCCUUUGAGCGGGGGACAACAUUUGGAAACGAAUGCUAAUACCGCAUAAAAACUUUAAACACAAGUUUUAAGUUUGAAAGAUGCAAUUGCAUCACUCAAAGAUGAUCCCGCGUUGUAUUAGCUAGUUGGUGAGGUAAAGGCUCACCAAGGCGAGGAUACAUAGCCGACCUGAGAGGGUGGUCGGCCGCAUUGGGACGGAGACACGGCCCAAACGCCUACGGGAGGGAGCAGGAGGGAAUCUUCGGCAAUGGACGAAAGUCUGACCGAGCAACGCCGCGUGAGUGAAGAAGGUUUUCGGAUCGUAAAACUCGGUUGGUAGAGAAGAACGUUGGUGAGAGUGGAAAGCUCAUCAAGUGACGGUAACUACCCAGAAAGGGACGGCUAACUACGUG